UACGUAAGGUGCGAGCGUUGUCCGGAAUUACUGGGCGUAAAGAGCUCGUAGGUGGUUUGUCGCGUUGUUCGUGAAAACUCACAACUCAAUUGUGGGCGUGCGGGCGAUACGGGCAGACUGGAGUACUGCAGGGGAGACUGGAAUUCCUGGUGUAGCGGUGGAAUGCGCAGAUAUCAGGAGGAACACCGGUGGCGAAGGCGGGUCUCUGGGCAGUAACUGACGCUGAGGAGCGAAAGCGUGGGGAGCGAACAGG
Molecule: ribosomal RNA, 253 nt
Filed under: uncultured bacterium
Lineage: Bacteria
Description: partial 16S ribosomal RNA
Rfam family: Bacterial small subunit ribosomal RNA
Source: RNAcentral